GAAACUGGCGAUGGCGGCGAACGAGAGACAGCGGAUAGUAACACGACGACUAACAUGAGAAAUAUUUUUAUUUUCUGCUUGCAACUGGACCGUCUAGAGCGUACACGAUAAGCGGGUAUUACGUCGCAGUCAUGUGCCGCGCCAAUGACGUCAAUAGGCGGAAAUCCCGCCAAGAUUCAAAUCUGUGGGCGCGGAUUGCCGUGAGCGAGACAGCGGAUACAAACACGACGAUUAUCAACAGAAAUAUCUUUAUUUUCUGCUUGCAACUGGACCGUCUAGAGCGUACACGGUUCCACGGUGUUCUUUGGCUGUAUGUUUUCCACUG
Syngnathus acus (greater pipefish) is the source of this 325-nucleotide long non-coding RNA. RefSeq lists it as uncharacterized. The transcript is spliced from 3 exons. The record is from RefSeq and is a predicted model, not a curated record. NCBI's taxonomy places the organism in Eukaryota, Metazoa, Chordata, Actinopteri, Syngnathiformes, Syngnathidae.